Molecule: ribosomal RNA, 539 nt
Filed under: uncultured bacterium
Lineage: Bacteria
Description: partial 16S ribosomal RNA
Rfam family: Bacterial small subunit ribosomal RNA
Source: RNAcentral
UGGGGAAUUUUGGACAAUGGGGGAAACCCUGAUCCAGCCAUCCCGCGUGUGCGAUGAAGGCCUUCGGGUUGUAAAGCACUUUUGGCAGGAAAGAAACGUCGCGGGUUAAUACCCCGCGAAACUGACGGUACCUGCAGAAUAAGCACCGGCUAACUACGUGCCAGCAGCCGCGGUAAUACGUAGGGUGCAAGCGUUAAUCGGAAUUACUGGGCGUAAAGCGUGCGCAGGCGGUUCGGAAAGAAAGAUGUGAAAUCCCAGAGCUUAACUUUGGGAACUGCAUUUUUAACUACCGGGCUAGAGUGUGUCAGAGGGAGGUGGAAUUCCGCGUGUAGCAGUGAAAUGCGUAGAUAUGCGGAGGAACACCGAUGGCGAAGGCAGCCUCCUGGGAUAACACUGACGCUCAUGCACGAAAGCGUGGGGAGCAAACAGGAUUAGAUACCCUGGUAGUCCACGCCCUAAACGAUGUCAACUAGCUGUUGGGGCCUUCGGCCUUGGUAGCGCAGCUAACGCGUGAAGUUGACCGCCUGGGGAGUACGGUC